UAAGGAAUAUUGGUCAAUGGAGGCAACUCUGAACCAGCCAUGCCGCGUGCAGGAAGAAGGCCCUAUGGGUCGUAAACUGCUUUUUGAACAAGAGAAAACCCCGGUACGUGUACUGGGUUGAUAGUAUUGUUAGAAUAAGCAUCGGCUAACUUCGUGCCAGCAGCCGCGGUAAGACGAAGGAUGCAAGCGUUAUCCGGAUUCAUUGGGUUUAAAGGGUGCGUAGGCGGACUGAUAAGUCAGUGGUGAAAUCUCUCGGCUUAACCGAGAAACUGCCAUUGAUACUGUUAGUCUAGAGUACAGAUGAUGUGGGCGGAAUAUGACAUGUAGUGGUGAAAUACUUAGACAUGUCAUAGAACACCGAUUGCGAAGGCAGCUCACAAAACUGUAACUGACGCUGAGGCACGAAAGUGCGGGGAUCAAACAGGAUUAGAUACCCAAGUAGUCCCUGAGCGGGCUGGCAAGGCGCAU
Molecule: ribosomal RNA, 468 nt
Filed under: uncultured bacterium
Lineage: Bacteria
Description: bacterial SSU rRNA
Rfam family: Bacterial small subunit ribosomal RNA
Source: RNAcentral